Ricinus communis (castor bean) is the source of this 1216-nucleotide RNA transcript. RefSeq lists it as uncharacterized. The transcript has 4 exons. The record is from RefSeq and is a predicted model, not a curated record. NCBI's taxonomy places the organism in Eukaryota, Viridiplantae, Streptophyta, Magnoliopsida, Malpighiales, Euphorbiaceae.
AUAAAAACUACUAAAUAGCAAUGACAUAUCAUCCAGAUGCACUGUCUAUUACAUCGUGAUGCAGUAUAAAAGUAAAUUGAGAGCCCCUUCUCCCCAAAAGACAAGAAUCGAAAAUUAUACAUUAGUAGCUUAGAGACAACCAGUAACGAAUACGGAACGAUAUGGGUACCGAAGGAGCAGAACAGAAUGGCGUUUUCAGGGUCACGAUUAAGAAGAAGGAGGUGGUGGCAGCAGUGCUACCAUUGCAAGAACAUUGGUUGUCACUCUCCGACCUAGACCUGCUUCAUCAACUUGUUGAAGUUGCGCGGUAACAUAGAGUAGAUUCUUAAAGAAGAUUAAAUCUGUGUUUUGAACUAUUUGGUUCUAGAAGAUUAGUACCACACUUUAUACAUAGCUACAAGUGAUGCAAAUUCUAAAUAAUAGUUCAAGACUGUUAUGAACUUUCAGCUGAGUAUGAAGGGAAACACAACCCUCAAAAGUUGGCGGAACUUGGGAAAGUGCUAACAAGUUUGGAUCUUGGGGAUUCAAUUGUUGUUACGAAGUCAUUCUCUCACAUGCUUAACUUGGCCAAUCUGGCUGAGGAAGUUCAGAUCGCUUAUAGACGAAGAAUCAAAUUGAAGAAAGGAGAUUUUGCUGAUGAGAACUCAGCAACAACUGAAUCAGACAUUGAAGAGACCCUAAAAAGACUGGUGGUGCAAUUGAAGAAAUCCCCAGAAGAAGUUUUUGAUGCUUUGAAGAACCAGACUGUGGAUUUAGUCUUAACUGCACAUCCUACUCAAUCUGUUAGAAGAUCUUUGCUUCAAAAGCACGAUACGGGACUGUUUGACUCAGUUGUACGCUAAGGGCAUUACUCCAGAUGAUAAGCAGGAACUUGAUGAGGCCUUACAAAGAGAGAUUCAAGCUGCAUUCCGCACAGAUGAAAUCCGAAGGACUCCUCCGACUCCACAAGAUGAGAUGAGAGCAGGAAUGAGCUACUUCCAUGAGACUAUAUGGAAGGGUGUCCCGAAGUUCUUGCGCCGUGUUGACACAGCUUUGAAGAAUAUUGGGAUAAAUGAGCGAGUUCCUUAUAAUGCUCCUCUCAUCCAAUUCUCCUCUUGGUGGGUGGAGAUCGUGAUGGUGUGUUUCUUUGUUACAUAAAGUAGUUUUCUGCUAGGCAGAUUUCUUGUACCCCAAAAUGAUAUUUGAAAGUGAAGUUGCAAAAUUUUUUAUUUGCAUA